Molecule: non-coding RNA, 390 nt
Organism: Arvicola amphibius (Eurasian water vole)
Lineage: Eukaryota; Metazoa; Chordata; Mammalia; Rodentia; Cricetidae
Source: the annotation of a RefSeq genome assembly
AUGGAGAGGAAACUGGGAGCUGUGCUGGGGAUUCUGUGGGUGCAGAUUUGCUGGGUGCGAGGUGUUGAGGUGCAGCAGAGUCCUUCAGCUCUGAAACUCUACGAGGGAACCAGUUCUGCUCUGUCAUGCAAUUUUUCUACCACCAUCAUGAGUUUGCAAUGGUUCCAGCAGAAUCCCAGGGGCAGCUUCAUCAAUCUUUUUUACCAGGCUCCAGGAACAAAGACAAAGGGGAGGUUAAAGUCUACAUUUGACUCCAAGGAGCAGUACAGCACUCUGCACAUCAGGGAUGCCCAGCUGGAGGACUCAGGCACCUACUUCUGUGCUGCAGAAGCACAGUACUUCCAUCAAGCCUGCAGCCUGGCCCCAAAUUGCAGCUGUUCAUUCAGCUAA